UCGCUCCUACCGAUUGAAUGGUCCGGUGAAUAAUUCAGACCGUCGUGGCGAACAAUCCCAUGAACGCCACGGUGGGAAGUCUAGUAAGCCUUACCACUUAGAGGAAGGAG
Molecule: ribosomal RNA, 110 nt
Filed under: uncultured eukaryote
Lineage: Eukaryota
Description: partial small subunit ribosomal RNA
Source: RNAcentral